GCCCGGGUGGUGAAAUUGGUAGACACAAGGGACUUAAAAUCCCUCGGCUUGAAAAGGCUGUGCCGGUUCGAUUCCGGCCCCGGGCACCA
This 89-nucleotide transfer RNA is filed under the name Ferrovum sp. PN-J185. RNAcentral describes it as "tRNA-Leu". It matches the Rfam family "tRNA". From Rfam's summary of the family: Transfer RNA (tRNA) molecules are approximately 80 nucleotides in length. Their secondary structure includes four short double-helical elements and three loops (D, anti-codon, and T loops). Lineage: Bacteria; Pseudomonadati; Pseudomonadota; Betaproteobacteria; Ferrovales; Ferrovaceae. RNAcentral also lists the same sequence under 1 other name. The record is from RNAcentral.